RNAcentral lists this ribosomal RNA (505 nucleotides) under uncultured bacterium. RNAcentral's name for it is "partial 16S ribosomal RNA". It matches the Rfam family "Bacterial small subunit ribosomal RNA", at positions 28 to 507 of the family's 1533-position model. The record is from RNAcentral.
GACGAACGCUGGCGGCGUGCCUAAUACAUGCAAGUAGAACGCACAGUUUAUACCGUAGCUUGCUACACCAUAGACUGUGAGUUGCGAACGGGUGAGUAACGCGUAGGUAACCUGCCUGGUAGCGGGGGAUAACUAUUGGAAACGAUAGCUAAUACCGCAUAAUAUUGAUUAUUGCAUGAUAAUUGAUUGAAAGAUGCUAUUGCAUCACUACCAGAUGGACCUGCGUUGUAUUAGCUAGUAGGUGAGGUAACGGCUCACCUAGGCGACGAUACAUAGCCGACCUGAGAGGGUGAUCGGCCACACUGGGACUGAGACACGGCCCAGACUCCUACGGGAGGCAGCAGUAGGGAAUCUUCGGCAAUGGACGAAAGUCUGACCGAGCAACGCCGCGUGAGUGAAGAAGGUUUUCGGAUCGUAAAGCUCUGUUGUAAGAGAAGAACGGGUGUGAGAGUGGAAAGUUUACACUGUGACGGUAUCUUACCAGAAAGGGACGGCUAACUACGUG